UCCCAAACCCAAUGUGAACGUUACCAAACUGUUGCCUCGGCGGGAUCUCUGCCCCGGGUGCGUCGCAGCCCCGGACCAAGGCGCCCGCCGGAGGACCAACCAAAACUCUUAUUGUAUACCCCCUCGCGGGUUUUUUUAUAAUCUGAGCCUUCUCGGCGCCCCUCGUGGGCGUUUCGAAAAUGAAUCAAAACUUUCAACAACGGAUCUCUUGGUUCUGGCAUCGAUGAAGAACGCAGCGAAAUGCGAUAAGUAAUGUGAAUUGCAGAAUUCAGUGAAUCAUCGAAUCUUUGAACGCACAUUGCGCCCGCCAGUAUUCUGGCGGGCAUGCCUGUCCGAGCGUCAUUUCAACCCUCGAACCCCUCCGGGGGGUCGGCGUUGGGGAUCGGCCCUCCCUCUGCGGGGGCCGUCUCCGAAAUACAGUGGCGGUCUCGCCGCAGCCUCUCCUGCGCAGUAGUUUGCACACUCGCACCGGGAGCGCGGCGCGUCCACAGCCGUUAAACACCCCAACUUUCUGAAAUGUUGACCUCGGAUCAGGUAGGAAUACCCGCUGAACUUAAGCAUAUCAAUAAGCGGAGGA
RNAcentral lists this ribosomal RNA (577 nucleotides) under Trichoderma sp. MKZ-2007a. RNAcentral describes it as "eukaryotic LSU rRNA". The stretch from base 189 to 342 matches the Rfam family "5.8S ribosomal RNA". Lineage: Eukaryota; Fungi; Ascomycota; Sordariomycetes; Hypocreales; Hypocreaceae. The record is from RNAcentral.